This 170-nucleotide ribosomal RNA is filed under the name uncultured bacterium. RNAcentral's name for it is "partial 16S ribosomal RNA". It matches the Rfam family "Bacterial small subunit ribosomal RNA", at positions 338 to 524 of the family's 1533-position model. The record is from RNAcentral.
CCUACGGGAGGCAGCAGUGGGGAAUAUUGGACAAUGGGCGAAAGCCUGAUCCAGCAAUGCCGCGUGAGUGAUGAAGGCCUUAGGGCUGUAAAGCUCUUUUACCCGGGAUGAUAAUGACAGUACCGGGAGAAUAAGCUCCGGCUAACUCCGUGCCAGCAGCCGCGGGUAAU